Molecule: ribosomal RNA, 867 nt
Filed under: Salmonella enterica subsp. enterica serovar Dublin
Lineage: Bacteria; Pseudomonadati; Pseudomonadota; Gammaproteobacteria; Enterobacterales; Enterobacteriaceae
Description: partial 23S ribosomal RNA
Rfam family: Bacterial large subunit ribosomal RNA
Source: RNAcentral
GGCUAAAUACUCCUGACUGACCGAUAGUGAACCAGUACCGUGAGGGAAAGGCGAAAAGAACCCCGGCGAGGGGAGUGAAAAAGAACCUGAAACCGUGUACGUACAAGCAGUGGGAGCACAGGUUUACCUGUGUGACUGCGUACCUUUUGUAUAAUGGGUCAGCGACUUAUAUUCUGUAGCAAGGUUAACCGAAUAGGGGAGCCGGAGGGAAACCGAGUCUUAAUUGGGCGUUAAGUUGCAGGGUAUAGACCCGAAACCCGGUGAUCUAGCCAUGGGCAGGUUGAAGGUUGGGUAACACUAACUGGAGGACCGAACCGACUAAUGUUGAAAAAUUAGCGGAUGACCUGUGGCUGGGGGUGAAAGGCCAAUCAAACCGGGAGAUAGCUGGUUCUCCCCGAAAGCUAUUUAGGUAGCGCCUCGUGAAUUCAUCUCCGGGGGUAGAGCACUGUUUCGGCUAGGGGGCCAUCCCGGCUUACCAACCCGAUGCAAACUGCGAAUACCGGAGAAUGUUAUCACGGGAGACACACGGCGGGUGCUAACGUCCGUCGUGAAGAGGGAAACAACCCAGACCGCCAGCUAAGGUCCCAAAGUCAUGGUUAAGUGGGAAACGAUGUGGGAAGGCCCAGACAGCCAGGAUGUUGGCUUAGAAGCAGCCAUCAUUUAAAGAAAGCGUAAUAGCUCACUGGUCGAGUCGGCCUGCGCGGAAGAUGUAACGGGGCUAAACCAUGCACCGAAGCUGCGGCAGCGAACGUAUCACUUAAAGCGAUUCAGCGGGUUACGAUUGACGGAGCGAAGCGACGUCAAAGCGUAUACAAAGUCGAGUCGGUUUAAGGAUACGUUCGUUGGGUAGGGGAGCGUUCUGUAAGC